GAAUUAUUUAGCCCAGAGCUGGCAGAAAAGCAUUUCAUAGUAGCGUUUAACAAAAUGGAUCUUCCAGAAGCAUAUGAAAAAUGGAAUUCAUUCAACGAAUACCUGCAAACCCGUGGCAUUCAUCCCUUUUGCAUAAGUGCAAUGAACAGGCAGGGAACCCAGGAUAUUGUUUCUGCAGCUUAUGAGUUUUUACAAAAGGAAUUGAAGGCGAAAAAGGAAGUUGAAG
RNAcentral lists this unclassified non-coding RNA (226 nucleotides) under Hevea brasiliensis (rubber tree). Lineage: Eukaryota; Viridiplantae; Streptophyta; Magnoliopsida; Malpighiales; Euphorbiaceae. The record is from RNAcentral.